This 450-nucleotide ribosomal RNA is filed under the name uncultured bacterium. Its description in RNAcentral is "partial 16S ribosomal RNA". It matches the Rfam family "Bacterial small subunit ribosomal RNA", at positions 354 to 796 of the family's 1533-position model. The record is from RNAcentral.
GUGGGGAAUAUUGGACAAUGGGCGAAAGCCUGAUCCAGCCAUGCCGCGUGUGUGAAGAAGGUCUUCGGAUUGUAAAGCACUUUAAGUUGGGAGGAAGGGCAGUAAGUUAAUACCUUGCUGUUUUGACGUUACCGACAGAAUAAGCACCGGCUAACUUCGUGCCAGCAGCCGCGGUAAUACGAAGGGUGCAAGCGUUAAUCGGAAUUACUGGGCGUAAAGCGCGCGUAGGUGGUUUUGUAAGUUGGAGGUGAAAUCCCCGGGUUCAACCUGGGAACUGCCUCCAAAACUGCAUGACUAGAGUACGGUAGAGGGUAGUGGAAUUUCCUGUGUAGCGGUGAAAUGCGUAGAUAUAGGAAGGAACACCAGUGGCGAAGGCGACUACCUGGACUGAUACUGACACUGAGGUGCGAAAGCGUGGGGAGCAAACAGGAUUAGAAACCCGAGUAGUCC